GUGCCAGCCGCCGCGGUAAGACGGAGGGGGCAAGCGUUGUCCGGACUCAUUGGGCGUAAAGGGCGCGUAGGCGGCCUGACACGUUCGCGGUGAAAGCGCCCGGCUUAACCGGGCGAGGUCUGCGAAUACGGGCAGGCUGGAGGCAUCCAGAGGUCGGUGGAAUUCCCGGUGUAGUGGUGAAAUGCGUAGAGCUCGGGAGGAACACCAGUGGCGAAGGCGGCCGACUGGGGAUGUACUGACGCUGAGGCGCGACAGCGUGGGGAGCGAACCGAAUUAGAAACCCUGGUAGUCC
This 292-nucleotide ribosomal RNA is filed under the name uncultured bacterium. RNAcentral's name for it is "partial 16S ribosomal RNA". It matches the Rfam family "Bacterial small subunit ribosomal RNA", at positions 505 to 796 of the family's 1533-position model. The record is from RNAcentral.